CGAAACAUCGAAGGCAUCGCCAUGGUCGA
Molecule: small RNA, 29 nt
Filed under: Bombyx mori (domestic silkworm)
Lineage: Eukaryota; Metazoa; Arthropoda; Insecta; Lepidoptera; Bombycidae
Description: ovarian small RNA-14103
Source: RNAcentral